CAGUAGCCGCGGUAAUACGGAGGAUCCAAGCGUUAUCCGGAAUCAUUGGGUUUAAAGGGUCCGUAGGCGGUCUUGUAAGUCAGUGGUGAAAGCCCAUCGCUCAACGGUGGAACGGCCAUUGAUACUGCAGGACUUGAAUUAUUGGGAAGUAACUAGAAUAUGUAGUGUAGCGGUGAAAUGCUUAGAGAUUACAUGGAAUACCAAUUGCGAAGGCAGGUUACUACCAAUUGAUUGACGCUGAUGGACGAAAGCGUGGGUAGCGAACAGGAUUAGAUACCCCAGUAGUCCCUGUCUCUUAUAC
Molecule: ribosomal RNA, 301 nt
Filed under: uncultured bacterium
Lineage: Bacteria
Description: partial 16S ribosomal RNA
Rfam family: Bacterial small subunit ribosomal RNA
Source: RNAcentral